RNAcentral lists this ribosomal RNA (774 nucleotides) under uncultured organism. Its description in RNAcentral is "SSU rRNA". It matches the Rfam family "Bacterial small subunit ribosomal RNA", at positions 28 to 813 of the family's 1533-position model. The record is from RNAcentral.
GACGAACGCUGGCGGCGUGCUUAACACAUGCAAGUCGAACGGAAAGGCCCUGCUUUUGUGGGGUGCUCGAGUGGCGAACGGGUGAGUAACACGUGAGUAACCUGCCCUUGACUUUGGGAUAACUUCAGGAAACUGGGGCUAAUACCGGAUAGGAGCUCCUGCUGCAUGGUGGGGGUUGGAAAGUUUCGGCGGUUGGGGAUGGACUCGCGGCUUAUCAGCUUGUUGGUGGGGUAGUGGCUUACCAAGGCUUUGACGGGUAGCCGGCCUGAGAGGGUGACCGGCCACAUUGGGACUGAGAUACGGCCCAGACUCCUACGGGAGGCAGCAGUGGGGAAUAUUGCACAAUGGGCGGAAGCCUGAUGCAGCAACGCCGCGUGCGGGAUGACGGCCUUCGGGUUGUAAACCGCUUUCGCCUGUGACGAAGCGUGAGUGACGGUAAUGGGUAAAGAAGCACCGGCUAACUACGUGCCAGCAGCCGCGGUGAUACGUAGGGUGCGAGCGUUGUCCGGAUUUAUUGGGCGUAAAGGGCUCGUAGGUGGUUGAUCGCGUCGGAAGUGUAAUCUUGGGGCUUAACCCUGAGCGUGCUUUCGAUACGGGUUGACUUGAGGAAGGUAGGGGAGAAUGGAAUUCCUGGUGGAGCGGUGGAAUGCGCAGAUAUCAGGAGGAACACCAGUGGCGUAGGCGGUUCUCUGGGCCUUUCCUGACGCUGAGGAGCGAAAGCGUGGGGAGCGAACAGGCUUAGAUACCCUGGUAGUCCACGCUGUAAACGGUGGG